CGUGUGUGUCCCUGUAGAACGUCCAGAACGUGUUGACUCUAGAGGGAAGUGGACUGAUGUCUGCUCUGAGGGUUCUCUCCAGAUCGCCUGUCCCCCUCCCGCCGUAGAGGCUCAGCAGAGAGAUCUGAAGUGGAGUCUAGCGGGAGUGCAGUUGUUUUCUGGGGAGGGCUUGGACACGUGUGUUUGUGUGCUCCAGAAGCUGUGUAGCGUGCUGCUGCCUGCCUGGCGUGUGCACGGACACAUGGGACCCCCCCACAGCGCUGUAUGAUCCUUGGCGUGUGCGCUAACACGCUAAGGCUGCUGCGGACCAUGCUGACAGAGCUGCUGCGCAGCGGAGCCUUCCAGUUCAGGGACACGCGUGUGGCGAGCACGUUGGUGACGCUACACAUGGUCGUGUGUUCAGCCCCGUCCUCUGGACGUCUAGACUGGGAGGAGACCAAGGUUCAGGCCCUCAUCGUAGAUGUGCUGCUCACCUUCACACGGGAGUCAGCGAACAGAUGACCCACACAGAGGAGACUCUGCUCAGUAACACAUGGUCUCUGAUGCUGAAGGAGGUGUUGGGCUCUCUACUGAAAGCACCAGAGGGACUCUUCCUGGCCUCACCCUGCUGUCUGAACUGCUGCCACUUCCCCUGCCCAUGCAGAGCACGCAGGUGAUCUCUGUCCAGGACGUGGCUGUAGCGUUGAACACCAGGAAGUUGUGGAGCAUGCACCUGCGGGUGCAGUGGGGUGUGUUUGCGGACGCCCUCGGGUGUGGUGUGUGGAACUAGCUGUCCUCCGCUGCUGGCCAUGCUGCGACGUGUGUGUGUCCAGCUGGCUGACCUCUCCUCUCCACCCGCCACCCUCAUCAUGAAGACCCUGCUGGAAUUCCUGCUGGGGGAACUACAGCCUGUUGAGGGUAAGAGUACCGGUUGGGGGCAGGUCCUGCGUCUCUCUCUCUAUUCGACACCUGGUUUCCCAGAGAGCCUGUAAGAUCGCAACGUUACACCUGCUCUCUGGCUCCGCCCCUGGAGACGAGCCAUUGGCUGAUGUCUUCCCCUGCUACUGUCCCUAUUGGUUCCCGCUGCUGACCACGCCCUGCCACAACAGCACUGUGCAGAGCUGGUGGGAACUGUCCUGCAGUCACUGUGUGCCAGGUAACACACGAAGCACCUGGUAUUGUAUGAAGCUAAUGCACUUCAUCCACUAGCUGUUGUCUUUCCUCCAGCUAUAACAAUGGAGAGGUAUGGGGUGAAUUGGUGCGUGUUAUGUUCAUAAACAUGUAGGUCUUUGUGGAUGCUCUUUAGUCUGAACUAUGUGUCAGACUAGCAGGGGGUCGUAUAUCAGGCUGAGCCAGGUAACAGGGAGCGGUAGAGGAAUAGAGAAAGGUGUUUAACCCCAUCAGUCCCAAGACAUGUAUCUGACUUUCAUUAUCUGCAUGUCCAGCCGUUAUAUUUAGUCUCACAAUGAAGUGUUUUACCAUGUUCUUUUCAGGACAACCAGGGC
Salvelinus sp. IW2-2015 is the source of this 1484-nucleotide non-coding RNA. Lineage: Eukaryota; Metazoa; Chordata; Actinopteri; Salmoniformes; Salmonidae. The record is from RefSeq and is a predicted model, not a curated record.